RNAcentral lists this ribosomal RNA (516 nucleotides) under uncultured bacterium. RNAcentral describes it as "bacterial SSU rRNA". It matches the Rfam family "Bacterial small subunit ribosomal RNA", at positions 8 to 518 of the family's 1533-position model. The record is from RNAcentral.
AGAGUUGAUCAUGGCUCAGGAUGAACGCUAGCGGCAGGCUAACACAUGCAAGUCGAGGGGCAGCGGGAUGUAGCAAUACAUUGCCGGCGACCGGCGGAUGGGUGCGUAACGCGUAUGCAACCUACCUUAUACAGGGGAAUAACCUUUCGAAAGGGAGACUAACACCCCAUAGUAUUGAUUUAAGGCAUCUUAGAUUAAUUAAAUAUUUAUAGGUAUAAGAUGGGCAUGCGUAUGAUUAGCUAGUUGGUAAGGUAACGGCUUACCAAGGCGACGAUCAUUAGGGGUUCUGAGAGGAAGGUCCCCCACACUGGUACUGAGACACGGACCAGACUCCUACGGGAGGCAGCAGUGAGGAAUAUUGGUCAAUGGGCGCAAGCCUGAACCAGCCAUGCCGCGUGCCAGGAAGACGGCCUUAUGGGUUGUAAACUGCUUUUACAUAAGACUAACCGUAUAUUUGCGAAUAUACCUGAAUGUAUUAUGAGAAUAAGGAUCGGCUAACUCCGUGCCAGCAGCCGC